AUUACAUAGGAUGUAAGUUUGUAUACUGACGUGCUCAGCAGAAAGCACACUCAUACUUCCACACUAGGUGGUCACAAAUGUUUUCCAUGCACAAGUCUACCUCUUGGUAAACACAUCAGUACAUAUGCGGUGCAGGCUGCCUCUCAAAGUGCAGGAAAAAUAAGCAGAGAAAUUUAUAAACUAAAAAAAAAGGAUCUCCCUAGCAGUCCAGCCCAGCUGUCCACUGCCAACCAGCAGCAAAUCUCCCUCUCUACCCACGAACACAGGAGCUGAGUGAAACUUCUGGUUUGGCAUCUAAAAAUACCAGCACAAGAGACGAUUAUUAGAAGUGUUCUGGUAGAGUGCUUUCAACAGCAAAGCCUGCUGGCCUCUCACCUUGCUGAGGAGAAGAUGAGGAUCCAAGGAGGAGC
RNAcentral lists this long non-coding RNA (410 nucleotides) under Anser brachyrhynchus (Pink-footed goose). Its description in RNAcentral is "lncRNA (ENSABRG00000000563.1)". Lineage: Eukaryota; Metazoa; Chordata; Aves; Anseriformes; Anatidae. The record is from RNAcentral.